Non-coding RNA from Gossypium hirsutum (cotton), 144 nucleotides. The record is from Rfam. Lineage: Eukaryota; Viridiplantae; Streptophyta; Magnoliopsida; Malvales; Malvaceae.
UGUUAAAUUUUUUAUCCAUUUAUAUUGUAAAAAAUUAGUGUGAUUGACAAAAUAAUCACACAAUGACAUGUGGCAUGCAUGUGUACCUCAUGUUAAAAUACAAAGAUUAAUUUUUAAUAGCAACAAUGGAUGAAAUGUUUAACA